GGGGGGGGGGGGGGGGGGGGGGGGGGGGGGGGGGGCGGGGGGGGGGGCGGGGGGGGGGGGGGGUGGUCGGGGGGCGAGGGGGGGAGGAACACGUGAGUGACCUGCCCUUGACUUUGGGCUAACUUCAGGAAACUGGGGCUAAUACCGGAUAGGAGCUCCUGCUGCAUGGUGGGGGUUGGAAAGUUUCGGCGGUUGGGGAUGGACUCGCGGCUUAUCAGCUUGUUGGUGGGGUAGUGGCUUACCAAGGCUUUGACGGGUAGCCGGCCUGAGAGGGUGACCGGCCACAUUGGGACUGAGAUACGGCCCAGACUCCUACGGGAGGCAGCAGUGGGGAAUAUUGCACAAUGGGCGGAAGCCUGAUGCAGCAACGCCGCGUGCGGGAUGACGGCCUUCGGGUUGUAAACCGCUUUCGCCUGUGACGAAGCGUGAGUGACGGUAAUGGGUAAAGAAGCACCGGCUAACUACGUG
RNAcentral lists this ribosomal RNA (468 nucleotides) under uncultured bacterium. Its description in RNAcentral is "partial 16S ribosomal RNA". It matches the Rfam family "Bacterial small subunit ribosomal RNA", at positions 38 to 507 of the family's 1533-position model. The record is from RNAcentral.